Non-coding RNA from Taeniopygia guttata (zebra finch), 646 nucleotides. Lineage: Eukaryota; Metazoa; Chordata; Aves; Passeriformes; Estrildidae. The record is from RefSeq and is a predicted model, not a curated record.
AAAGAACAGGGUGAGAGUAAUUGUGUUGGCUUGACUCCAAAGCCUGGAGGAGUAGUCUCUUGCUACUCUCCCAGAUUAUCUGCCAGGAAACAGAAAGGUUAAUGAUGUAGAGCUUGAUUACUCUAGUAGAAAGAAAGAUUUUUGGAUCACCUUGAUCCAAAAAUCUUUAUUAUGUGUGUAAGGGAGAUGCAUCAAAAGGGCUCAGAGCUGGAAUAUGUUGUCUUCUCCAUUCUGUCUUUGAACAUCAGAGUAUUUGCCUUCUGGCAGAUAUGGUCUUGUAGGUAAUAGCUUUUUGCUGUGCAUACAUCUUUUUACCUGAAGCUUGUUGUUUAAUUUUAAGGCAUUUACAAUAGUUUUGUUGCUAAGAAAGCCAGUCUUCUUCAAUAUCAGCAGAAUAAACAUUUGAAUGUAUGCAUCGCUGGAACAGAUUGAACAUCAUUAGUUGAGGCUAGACAGCAGUGCCUGUACUGUACUCCUCGAGAUAGCUGUAAGAUCCAAGACCUGGGGACCAUGUCUCAGCUUCAGGGCAGGUGUGUCCUACUGUGUUGGCUGCUCAUCUUUUCCACCUUGUGUCUUAAGAUAAAAUGCAAUAAACAUCUAUAUGAGUGUCUCAAGCACUCUUGGGGAAGAAGACCUCAUUUAAAAG